GACGAACGCUGGCGGCGUGCUUAACACAUGCAAGUCGUACGGUAAGGCCCUUUCGGGGGUACACGAGUGGCGAACGGGUGAGUAACACGUGAGUAACCUGCCCACAACUUUGGGAUAACGCUAGGAAACUGGUGCUAAUACUGGAUAUGUGCUCCUGCUGCAUGGUGGGGGUUGGAAAGCUCCGGCGGUUGUGGAUGGACUCGCGGCCUAUCAGCUUGUUGGUGGGGUAGUGGCCUACCAAGGCGGCGACGGGUAGCCGGCCUGAGAGGGUGACCGGCCACAUUGGGACUGAGAUACGGCCCAGACUCCUACGGGAGGCAGCAGUGGGGAAUAUUGCACAAUGGGCGCAAGCCUGAUGCAGCAACGCCGCGUGCGGGAUGACGGCCUUCGGGUUGUAAACCGCUUUCAGCAGGGACGAAGCUUUUUGUGACGGUACCUGCAGAAGAAGCACCGGCUAUCUACGUG
RNAcentral lists this ribosomal RNA (465 nucleotides) under uncultured bacterium. RNAcentral describes it as "partial 16S ribosomal RNA". It matches the Rfam family "Bacterial small subunit ribosomal RNA", at positions 28 to 507 of the family's 1533-position model. The record is from RNAcentral.